Molecule: long non-coding RNA, 1677 nt
Organism: Erigeron canadensis
Lineage: Eukaryota; Viridiplantae; Streptophyta; Magnoliopsida; Asterales; Asteraceae
Exons: 12
Source: RefSeq, a predicted model, not a curated record
AAACUCGGGGUAUGUGAAAUAUAUCAAAAUAAGGGUAUUUGAAAUUCAAGUUUGAAAAUCACCUUUGUUUUUGUUGUUGCUGUUGCUUCUUCUUUUCCGCUUUUCGAAUUGUAUGGAUGAGCUUGGAAUUCUUUUUUUUUUCCAACAAGCAUGUGUUGUGGAUGCUCCAGAAUAAAGCUGAAGAUAUAAAAUGAGGGUUUUUGAAACUACAAGAUUUUGAUGAAAACGAUUCUCAAAAGAUCCUAUUUUUGUUGAUCGAUGAUAGCUUGGAAAAUGAAGAUGGAUGAUAGUAAAGAUACAUUAAAAAGAUGGAACCGAUUAUACUUUAGGAGGAAGUAGAUAUGGAUUAUCAUGAUAUAGACUACAUAAGAGAUGUCUCACAUCUUUCCUCCUUUUUCUGUCCAUGCUUUCUCUCUAUUCAUUUUCCACUUUUUCAUUAUUUCUACGGCGGGUUUUAUGAUAAAGAAUCCAUGCCUAAGUUACAUAACUUGAUCACAGAAAAUUGACACUUUUUUAUAUUUGACUGCUCACUUUAUGACUUAAAUUGAACAAGAGGUAUUGGGGUGAACACGAUGAGGAAAAUGUUUUCUAAUUGUUAUAAUGUGUUAGGGAAUUAGAAAUGGGAAGCCGAAGUUGCGUUUGAGUUGUCAAAGCUUCAGAUGCAUGAGAUUUGAUGCAAAAGAAGUGGAAGAUAGAUAUAUAGUUGCGGUUGAUAUCAAUAAGCACAUUAAAUUGAUAAUACUAUAGAUUUUUGAAAAGGUUCCCUCAAUUAGUUAAAUGUUUGUGUUUUUAAUAUCUGAUGAUUGACUCUGCUUGGUAUCUUGACUUCAUUCUUAAAAUCUCUACCCAUGGUACUUAUUUUAGAAAUCAAAUUACAGGUGCAAUAUAAAUAAGGUCUGGUGCGUUGGUUAAUGGGUCGAUGGAUGAGGAAGGAUGGAUCUCGACUAUAUAUCAAUGAAGAGAUUCAAGAACCUAAUGACCCCAAAGGAGAGCUCAUGGAUAGUGUCGUACUUGGUACAAUUUUGAUACUUGAAGAAGACUUGACAAAGUCUUAUAUAUCGUGUCGAAUGUAUAAUAAGAAAGUAUUUAGAACUAAAUCAGAGUAUUUCGAAGUUGCAUGAGAGGAGGAGGUAAUUACGAAUAUUAUUUGGAAGAUUUGGAAUGAAGUCAUACCACACAUACCACCUUGAGGUUACAGUGGCAGGAAACAACAUAGUGGGUGUCAUUUUGCUCCCGGAUUUGCCUCACUUAUCUCAUCUUGGUGCAGGGCCCGACAAAGCUUUGAGAUGCUGAGGAUCGGCUGCAAUUUUAAGUGCCAAGUAGUAAUCGCUAUUUCAAGAAAUUGAGGUGUUAAUAAAUCAUCCAUGGACCAUGGUACUUUGUGAAGGAAGUCGGAAGAAAUGCAAGUUGCAAUAAGUUGGCACGUUUCAUUGGAAGGCUUGGACUGCCAUUUUAUCGUACAAGUGGUGACGAAUCUAUUUUGUAUGACCAUGAGUUUUAGAGGCAAGUUGGUUCAGCCUACUCAGUUAGUAAUUGACCUUGAAGUGUCAUAAUGCGCUAUCUUUAGCUCUGCAUAUUUUGUAUAAACUUUGUGUAUUUGUGCUUUAUUACAAGUUAAUGGAUUAACUGAGGAUUGUAACAACCGUCCCAGAAAUGUUUUAUUUAAGUCCUUGAAAA